Molecule: long non-coding RNA, 361 nt
Filed under: Elaeis guineensis (African oil palm)
Lineage: Eukaryota; Viridiplantae; Streptophyta; Magnoliopsida; Arecales; Arecaceae
Description: long non-coding RNA (EGUI_LNC052392)
Source: RNAcentral
GUAGUGGGCCGCCCAUAGUCAGGGGGAAUUUAUUGCGAAGGGUAGUGGAGCGAAAUCGUGGCUAUCGCCGUAGCUCGCCACGUAGAGCCUGUUGCAGGUAGUGGAGCGGCGUCCGUUGCCGCUAGUUGUCAGGGAGUAGUGGAGUCACGCAGCACCUGUCGCAGGGAGUGGAGCAGAAUCAUGGCCGUUGAUACAGCCUGUCAGAGAGUAAUGGGGUCGCGCAGGGUCCGCCGCAGGGAGUGGAGCAGGGCUGCGACCGUUACUGCGGCCUGUCAGGGGUGAUGGAGCAGUGCGAAAUCCAUUGUAGGAAGUGGAGCAGGGCCGCCAGGGGGCGCAGAUCUAUCGGCUGAAGCUCGGCAGC